UUCCUCUUCCCUUCUAAGAGCUUCUUUUGCAAUUCUAUGAGCCAAGCUAUUCUCUGUUCUGUUAAUGAAUUAAAAACCAAUUUCUUGAAAAUACUCCGACUGUCUUUAAAUAUCACUGAUGAUUGCUCCUAUAACUGACUUAUCUUGCGCCUUUGUUUGACAUUUCUUUAUGAUUGUGCGUGAAUCCCCCUUUAUUGUAACUGAGUGUAAUACCAUGGAGAUACCUAGCUUAACCACAUGAAGUAUGACAUAAGCUUCUGCUACAAAAGAAGAUGAGACAUUUGAGUUUAAAACAGUCUUUGUAGUUAGGAGUACUCCCUUCUGAUCCCAAGCCGCCAUACCCGCCAUUGAUUUGAAAUCUCUACUGUUGAAUGCUUCGUCAAAAUGAAUCGUCAUCCUGGGAUUUGUAACUCUUUGAUUGGGGCUUUUGACUGUGUUCAAGAACCACAUUCCAUAACAGAACACUCGGCAUUGUUUGUGAGUGCUCCUCUUGAAAAUCUAGGACAAAACUAAAAGACGUGGGGUACAUCCUCUUCCCCAGAUCUGCAACGAGGGCAUACAUUAUCAUCAGCAACUCGUUUAGAUCUCAGAUUGACUAAAGUAGGCAAAUAGUUCCAGGAAACUCUCCAGAUUGUAACUAUAAUCUUAGAGGGUAGCUGUAGAUUCCAUAGCUAUUUGUAGAAAAUUUUCACAUCGGCCUGUAUUAAUAAAUUAUUAGGAUUCAAGCUAGCAUUUUGUAAUAGUUUGUAGGCGCUCCUGACCAAAAACUCAAUAGACAGCUCUCCCUUCCACACCUAAAAGUCGACACUUGGCUUUUCCGCCAGAGGGACUUGCAAAAUCUUUUGAGCAAUAUCUGCUGAAAAGCCAUCUAUAUCUUUUCCUGGUAUCCGAUGAUUGUCCCAAACUGAGAUUCCAAUUCCCCUUCCUACUCUCCAACCCAACCCUCUUUGUAGCAAAUCUUUUGCAGCCCAGACACUCUUCCAGGUAAGUGAAGGCGUAGAUUCCAAACCACGUUAAUGCUAUGCUAGUUAAGAAAUCCUACAAUUUAGGGUUGCGUCGCCACCAUUCCACUUUCAAUAAGAACAAAGACCAAGAAAAAUAAACGUGCCAGACAGGGCAGACUAGAGACGUGCCAGAGAGGGCAAACUUCGAACUUAUUUAUUGUAUGUUAUUUUUAAAUGCAUACCUAUAUUCUAAAUACAUGGUUUUCACGUAUACGAGUGUGAUAAAUUUUUUAGUAUUUUCUAAAAAAUAUUAUUUCUCUGGGAGAAAGUUGAAUAUUUUUUUGAUA
This is a long non-coding RNA of Gossypium raimondii (Peruvian cotton), 1291 nucleotides long. RefSeq lists it as uncharacterized. The record is from RefSeq and is a predicted model, not a curated record. NCBI's taxonomy places the organism in Eukaryota, Viridiplantae, Streptophyta, Magnoliopsida, Malvales, Malvaceae. The transcript is spliced from 5 exons.